Long non-coding RNA from Pieris rapae (cabbage white), 569 nucleotides. RefSeq lists it as uncharacterized. The record is from RefSeq and is a predicted model, not a curated record. The transcript is spliced from 4 exons. NCBI's taxonomy places the organism in Eukaryota, Metazoa, Arthropoda, Insecta, Lepidoptera, Pieridae.
AUUUAACGCUUGUAUAUAUACGCCAUCUCGCAUUUCUUAAAUAUAAUCUGUACCGUUGAGAAAUGGCUCACAAUAAAAUAUAUUUCGUUGUGAUAACAACUGCUCUGCUUGCAGUACACAUGAUUCUUGCUGAAGAUGGCGAGGAUACUGAAGAGAGACGAUUUAGGUGGCCAAGCUCCAUUACUGUCGGAUUUCAACGAGAACAAAACGUGAAUCACGAGGAAAGAUUGGAAAGACUGGAAAGAUCGCUGCCAUCUCUUCCUUUUCUGCCAAAUUUAGGUUCCUGCAAUUAUGAUUCUGAACCUGGACUAACAUGUGCCGACUGUAGUAAUUCAAGAUUGUGUUUACCAAAUAACGUGAGCAUCACAACCAGUUGCGGGGUACUUCUUCCUAACUGCAAUGGAGGUCUUUGCUCUUCUACCCCGAGUAGGUCCUGCUCCGAAAACACCACGAAAUAUGAUUAACUGUGGCAUGAUUUUUGACGAAACUUAAUCCGUUUAUUAAUUGAAACCAUAGCAAUGUAUAAUGAAAACAGUUUGGCAAAUAUAUUAAUAAAAGACAGAAAUAAC